RNAcentral lists this ribosomal RNA (472 nucleotides) under Gyrinus sp. VLS-1999. Its description in RNAcentral is "partial 16S ribosomal RNA". The stretch from base 360 to 472 matches the Rfam family "Bacterial large subunit ribosomal RNA", at positions 2473 to 2586 of the family's 2925-position model. Lineage: Eukaryota; Metazoa; Arthropoda; Insecta; Coleoptera; Gyrinidae. The record is from RNAcentral.
CCUGCCCACUGAUUUUAUUUAACGGCCGCAGUAUUUUGACUGUGCAAAGGUAGCAUAAUAAUUAGUUUUUUAAUUAAAAGCUUGUAUGAAUGGUUGAAGCGAGGUAAAUUCUGUCUUUAAUUGAUUUAUUUUUGAAUUUAAUUUUUAAGUUAAAAAGCUUAAAUUUUUUUAAAAGACGAGAAGACCCUAUAGAUCUUUAUUAUUUUUUUAAAUAAUUUAUUUAGAAAUUUAUUUAUUAUUUUAUUAAAAUAAUUUUAUUGGGGUAAUGUAAAGAUUAAAUAAAUUCUUUAUUUUUAAAAACAUAAAUUUAUGAUUUUUUUGAUCCAAUUUUAUUGAUUAUAAGAUUAAGUUACCUUAGGGAUAACAGCGUAAUUUUUUUAAAGAGUUCAUAUCGAUAAAAAAGAUUGCGACCUCGAUGUUGGAUUAAAAGUAAUUUUAGGUGUAGAAGCUUAAAAUUUUGGUCUGUUCGACC